This 853-nucleotide ribosomal RNA is filed under the name Engyodontium aranearum. RNAcentral describes it as "LSU rRNA". It matches the Rfam family "Eukaryotic large subunit ribosomal RNA", at positions 54 to 938 of the family's 3401-position model. Lineage: Eukaryota; Fungi; Ascomycota. The record is from RNAcentral.
GAGAAAAGAAACCAACAGGGAUUGCCCCAGUAACGGCGAGUGAAGCGGCAACAGCUCAAAUUUGAAAUCUGGUCCCCAGGGCCCGAGUUGUAAUUUGUAGAGGAUGCUUUUGGCGCGGUGCCUUCCGAGUUCCCUGGAACGGGACGCCAUAGAGGGUGAGAGCCCCGUCUGGUCGGAUACCUAGCCUCUGUAAAGCUCCUUCGACGAGUCGAGUAGUUUGGGAAUGCUGCUCAAAAUGGGAGGUAUAUGUCUUCUAAAGCUAAAUAUUGGCCAGAGACCGAUAGCGCACAAGUAGAGUGAUCGAAAGAUGAAAAGCACUUUGAAAAGAGGGUUAAAAAGUACGUGAAAUUGUUGAAAGGGAAGCGCCUAUGACCAGACUUGGGCCCGGUGAAUCAUCCAGCGUUCUCGCUGGUGCACUUUGCCGGGCACAGGCCAGCAUCAGUUUGGCGCGGGGGAUAAAGGCUUUGGGAAUGUGGCUCCCUCGGGAGUGUUAUAGCCCAUUGUGUAAUACCCUGCGCCGGACUGAGGUACGCGCAUUGCAAGGAUGCUGGCGUAAUGGUCAUCAGCGACCCGUCUUGAAACACGGACCAAGGAGUCGUCUUCGUAUGCGAGUGUUCGGGUGUUAAACCCCUACGCGUAAUGAAAGUGAACGCAGGUGAGAGCUUCGGCGCAUCAUCGACCGAUCCUGAUGUUCUCGGAUGGAUUUGAGUAAGAGCAUACGGGGCCGGACCCGAAAGAAGGUGAACUAUGCCUGUAUAGGGUGAAGCCAGAGGAAACUCUGGUGGAGGCUCGCAGCGGUUCUGACGUGCGAAUCGAUCGUCAAAUAUGGGCAUGGGGGCGAAAGACUAAUCGA